UCACUAAUCAGGAGAAGGUGUGGAAAUUCCGCGUUCAAGACGAACCAAAAACCGGAAGAUGAACCAAAAUAAGGACAACAGCAGACUUCUCUUCAUGUUUGGCACAUUUCCAGGAUACGUCAUUGUUAUUGGACAAUGUCCAUAGUUCCGUAUUAGUUGUGUCCUCCUCUGUCCAGUAAAACCCCCUCCUCGUCCAAGACUACGGGACUAGACCACAAGCUAUUACAGCUUCAACUCUUCUGGGAAGGCUGUCCACAAGGUUGCGGAGUGUGUCUAUAGGAAUUUCCCACCAUUCGGGUUCAGGUCAGGACUCUGUGCAGGCCAGUCAAGUUCAUCCACACCAGACCUUGGUAGUGUCCCACUCCAAACUGUUCCAACAAGUUUCACAAAUUCCUGAGUAAAGUAGCUGAUGACGACGACUUCUGUUUUGUUUGAUCGACCGUUUUACUGCCGUGUUACAGACACCGUUUGGAAACAAUUAAGGGAACAAGGAUGAAGUCUUGUCAAUGGCAGGGAAAAAGUUCAUCGCCGUCUAUUUCAUUCCUGAACCUCUCAUGCUGAAACAUGAAUAAUUCCAAAGGAGCCCAACAUUUGUCAGCGCCGUGGAAACGCCGAGUGUCUUUUAAGUCGGCGGCUGUGAGUCUCAGGCUGUCUCAAAAAAGACGAACAUCUCGAAAUGCCGUAGGAUCAAUUCUGCUUACGCAACGCUCUGCGCUUAUCCUUUUUUCAUGUGAUGCUCGCUUUUGUCUUGGUUUAAAAGCUUCUGAAGGCACAAUCACUGAGGAUACGGAGCAAGAGGAGGCAACAGUGAGGAGAGGAGAUGGAAUUGUGCUCCAGUAAGAGUAAUGUUAC
Entelurus aequoreus (snake pipefish) is the source of this 852-nucleotide long non-coding RNA. RefSeq lists it as uncharacterized. The record is from RefSeq and is a predicted model, not a curated record. NCBI's taxonomy places the organism in Eukaryota, Metazoa, Chordata, Actinopteri, Syngnathiformes, Syngnathidae. The transcript has 4 exons.